RNAcentral lists this long non-coding RNA (495 nucleotides) under Brassica napus (rape). Its description in RNAcentral is "long non-coding RNA (BNAP_LNC017424)". Lineage: Eukaryota; Viridiplantae; Streptophyta; Magnoliopsida; Brassicales; Brassicaceae. The record is from RNAcentral.
AACACAACAUACUUUCAUUCAAUCUCGACUCGUUCGGUUACAAUAAACAGAGGGAAUAAACCAUCCUCUUUGAUUAAAAUGAUAAACUACAAUCACAAAAGCAGAUAAGUAGGAUAGUUCUUCAUGAGAAGAUGACAGCGAAUUCAAGACCAAGCUCAAAUGCGUCGAUAAAACCUUCACGACCCCUUUACGAUCGGAAAGCUGAGAAAUAGUCACAAGUGACGUUAACAUCCAAUCUUCACCUCGGAGAAUCGCCGAAACGAAACCCGUUGCAUCUUCAGGCCCCAAACGAACCGCUGCGCAAGAUAGCAAAACGGAUAUAGAUAUGGAUGGACACUUCCAUUUAAUGUUUGGAAGGGAAACACUCCUUAACAAGGAGGUAAUGGUUUGCUUCUCCAAGGAGAAGGCUGCUAGUGAUGAUGAAGUCGAACUCGAUGAAUCCACCGGCAAAUGAGUGAAUAAUAAACUCUUCGCACAAGAGAGAUAAGACCAUAU